GUCGAAAUAACAUUGGCGGUUGGUUCUUCGCGCCAAAUUUGCAUGAUUGCAUCGUUCUGGUCCCGAAGUGUCAGUGGCAUUUUGUUAACGAGGAGCAGAGGAAGAUGUUGACUAAUGAGCAUGACGAGCAGCAGGAUGGCCAGGCAGAUGCAGAGGCCGAUGAGCCAUGGGAAGCGCCACUCCGUGCACUCCCGCAAGGGUGCUGACACUGCGAAGGCAGGAAAAAAAAGCGUGUUCUCACGUUAUCUGCAUCCAUUCUGGGAGACUGCGUGCAAGUAAGACGGCAUGGCUACAAUGGCAACGCUGCCUUCUUUGAACCGUGCUAGUCUGUUUUGCAUUUGAGGACACUUUGUAUUAUUACAUGACCACCCUCGUUACAGGCAUGUCUGCAAUAGUGCUAAUAAAACAUUUUAUAAAAAAAUU
This is a long non-coding RNA of Rhipicephalus microplus (southern cattle tick), 423 nucleotides long. The record is from RefSeq and is a predicted model, not a curated record. Lineage: Eukaryota; Metazoa; Arthropoda; Arachnida; Ixodida; Ixodidae.